GAAGGUUUUCGGAUCGUAAAACUCUGUUGUUAGGGAAGAACAAGUAUCGUUCGAAUAGGGCGGUACCUUGACGGUACCUAACCAGAAAGCCACGGCUAACUACGUGCCAGCAGCCGCGGUAAUACGUAGGUGGCAAGCGUUGUCCGGAAUUAUUGGGCGUAAAGCGCGCGCAGGCGGUUUCUUAAGUCUGAUGUGAAAUCUUGCGGCUCAACCGCAAGCGGCCAUUGGAAACUGGGAGACUUGAGUGCAGAAGAGGAGAGUGGAAUUCCACGUGUAGCGGUGAAAUGCGUAGAGAUGUGGAGGAACACCAGUGGCGAAGGCGACUCUCUGGUCUGUAACUGACGCUGAGGCGCGAAAGCGUGGGGAGCGAACAGGAUUAGAUACCCUGGUAGUCCACGCCGUAAACGAUGAGUGCUAAGUGUUAGAGGGUUUCCGCCCUUUAGUGCUGCAGCUAACGCAUUAAGCACUCCGCCUGGGGAGUACGGCCGCAAGGCUGAAACUCAAAGGAAUUGACGGGGGCCCGCACAAGCGGUGGAGCAUGUGGUUUAAUUCGAAGCAACGCGAAGAACCUUACCAGGUCUUGACAUCCUCUUGACCUCCCUAGAGAUAGGGAUUUCCCUUCGGGGACAGGAGUGACAGGUGGUGCAUGGUGUCC
This 655-nucleotide ribosomal RNA is filed under the name Bacillus sp. (in: firmicutes). RNAcentral's name for it is "bacterial SSU rRNA". It matches the Rfam family "Bacterial small subunit ribosomal RNA", at positions 410 to 1053 of the family's 1533-position model. Lineage: Bacteria; Bacillati; Bacillota; Bacilli; Caryophanales; Bacillaceae. The record is from RNAcentral.